GAGGUUUUAGCUUAAUUAAAGUAUUUGAGUUGCAUUCAAAAGAUGUGGAGUAGAGUUCUACAAGCCUUG
This 69-nucleotide transfer RNA is filed under the name Smaug warreni. RNAcentral's name for it is "Ala-tRNA". It matches the Rfam family "tRNA". Rfam says of the family: Transfer RNA (tRNA) molecules are approximately 80 nucleotides in length. Their secondary structure includes four short double-helical elements and three loops (D, anti-codon, and T loops). Further hydrogen bonds mediate the characteristic L-shaped molecular structure. tRNAs have two regions of fundamental functional importance: the anti-codon, which is responsible for specific mRNA codon recognition, and the 3' end, to which the tRNAs corresponding amino acid is attached (by aminoacyl-tRNA synthetases). tRNAs cope with the degeneracy of the genetic code in two manners: having more than one tRNA (with a specific anti-codon) for a particular amino acid; and 'wobble' base-pairing, i.e. permitting non-standard base-pairing at the 3rd anti-codon position. Lineage: Eukaryota; Metazoa; Chordata; Lepidosauria; Squamata; Cordylidae. The record is from RNAcentral.